GAUGUCGAUCAACAGCAAGAAAAGUUGUGGCAGACCCUCGUACUACUACCGACUCCUCCGGAGGUCCCGACUUCAGAGACAGCGCAGCCGAUCCCGGAGUCGCAACCGGCCAGUGAGCAGGGAGUCCCCACCAGAGAGGACUGGACAGAGACGGGGGAUGCCCAGCGGGGGGCUGGAAAAGAACCCCAGCAUGGAGCCAGCUGCCCCAACCCCAUUCCGUGUCACGGGGUUCCUGAGCCGCCGGCUGAAAGGCUCCAUCAAAAGGACAAAGAGCCAGCCCAAGCUUGACAGAAACAGCAGCUUCCGGCACAUUCUACCUGGCUUCAGAAACGCGGACAAUGAGAGAUCCCAUCUAAUGCCGAGGCUGAAGGAAUCUCGCUCCCACGAGUCACUGCUCAGUCCCAGUAGCGCGGUGGAUGCCCUUGAUCUGAGCAUGGAGGAGGAGGUAGUCAUUAAGCCUGUUCACAGCAGCAUCUUGGGGCAAGACUAUUGCUUUGAGGUGACAACUGCAUCAGGUAGCAAAUGCUUCUCAUGCCGAUCCGCUGCAGAACGGGACAAGUGGAUGGAGAACCUGCGGAGAGCCGUGCAUCCCAACAAGGACAAUAGCAGGCGAGUCGAGAACAUGCUCAAGUUAUGGAUUAUUGAAGCGAAAGACGUACCAGCUAAGAAGAAGUACUUAUGCGAACUGUGCUUGGACGAGGUUCUAUACGCGCGGACGACAUGCAAGUUGAAAACGGACAAUGUCUUUUGGGGGGAGCACUUUGAGUUCAACAACCUCCCGUCGCUCCGGAGCAUCACCAUCCAUUUGUACAAAGAGACAGACAAGAAGAAGAAGAAAGACAAGACCAACUUCAUUGGGCUGGUCAGCAUCCCAGCGGGUUCCGUCACAGGGCGGCAGUUUGUUGAGAAGUGGUACCCUGUGGUCACGCCCAACCCCAGCAAGGGCAAAUCUGGGGGACCCAUGAUCCGCAUCAAGUCGCGUUACCAAAGCAUGAGCAUCCUUCCCAUGGAGAUGUACAAGGAGUUUGCGGAGUACAUCACCAACAACUACCUGGCUCUCUGCUCAGUCCUGGAGCCAGUGUUGAGUGUGAAGAACAAGGAAGAGAUGGCCUCAGCUCUGGUCCACAUCCUACAAAGCACUGGAAAGGCCAAGGAUUUCUUGACUGACCUCAUGAUGUCCGAAGUGGACCGCUGUGGUGAAAAUGAGCACCUUAUUUUCAGAGAAAACACCCUCGCCACAAAAGCGAUCGAGGAAUACCUCAAGCUGGUGGGGCAGAAGUACUUGCAAGAUGCCUUAGGUGAGUUUAUCAAAGCUCUGUAUGAAUCGGACGAAAACUGUGAGGUGGAUCCUAGCAAAUGCUCCUCCUCGGAUCUCCCAGAGCAUCAGAGCAACCUGAAGAUGUGCUGUGAACUGGCGUUUUGCAAAAUCAUCAACUCGUACUGCGUGUUCCCACGAGAGCUGAAGGAGGUCUUUGCCUCCUGGCGGCAGGAGUGCAGCAGCCGUGGCCGGCCCGACAUCAGCGAGAGGCUAAUCAGCGCCUCCUUGUUCCUCCGCUUCCUCUGCCCUGCCAUCAUGUCCCCGUCUCUCUUCAACCUGCUGCAGGAAUAUCCCGACGAUCGCACCGCCCGCACUUUGACCCUCAUUGCCAAGGUCACGCAGAACCUGGCCAACUUUGCCAAGUUUGGCAGCAAAGAAGAAUACAUGUCAUUCAUGAAUCAGUUCUUGGAACACGAAUGGACGAACAUGCAGCGGUUUCUGUUGGAGAUCUCCAAUCCUGAGACUCUUUCCAACACGGCAGGCUUUGAAGGGUACAUUGACCUGGGCCGGGAGCUGUCCACUUUGCAUUCUCUGCUCUGGGAGGUCAUAUCACAGCUGGAGCAGAGCACAGCAACCAAACUUGGGCCGCUGCCGCGCAUCCUGAGGGACGUCAACACGGCUCUCAGCAACCCGUCCUGCGUGCAAGUCUCCAUCAGCGCAGACCACGCCGUGUCGACGCCCAACGCCGGCAACUGCAUCUCGGUGGGGCUGCAGAAGAUGGUGAUCGAGAAUGAUUUAUCUGGUCUGAUAGAUUUCACACGGUUACCGUCUCCAACCCCUGAAAACAAGGACUUGUUUUUUGUCACAAGGUCUGCGGGGGCCCAGCCCUCGCCUGCCCGGAGCUCCAGCUACUCGGAGGCCAAUGAGCCCGAUGUGCAGAUGCCCAACGGCAGCAAGAGCCUCUCCAUGGUGGACUUGCAAGACAAUCGGAUUUUGGACAGUGGGGCCACCAUACCAGGGACAGCCGACUCUCUCAAUGACAGUCAGUCCUCCAUCGGGCAGGUCCCGGGUGUCUGGAGCGCACGAACUCAGCAGAACAACGUGGCCGGCAUGGCCACCGUACGUCGGGUGGGCCAAACCCCGACAACGCCCAACGCUGAGAGCGCCCCCGGCCGGCCCCAGCUCUUGGCUCCCCUCUCCUUCCAGAACCCGGUUUACCAGAUGGCAGCGGGGCUGCCGCUCUCGCCCCGGGGCCUGGCGGACUCCGGGUCUGAGUGCCACAGCUCGCUCAGCUCCCACAGCAACAGUGAGGACUUGGUGGCUAACAAGCAUGUCUUCACCAACCCGGCCGCCACCGAGGACUUUAACCGGCGAGCGGGGGAACUUGCCCGCCGGCAGCUUUCGCUAACGGACAAGGCCGGGCAGCCCACGAUGCCCCGGCAGAACAGCGGCGGCCCCCAGAGGCGGAUAGACCAGCCACCGCCGCCUCCUCCUCCGCCACCCCCCAUUACACGGGGCCGAACGCCGCCCUCCUUGCUGAACACCAUGCAGUACCCAAGGCCGUCCAGCGGGGGCAUGCUCUCCUCCUCGCCCGAUUGGCCAGGCAGUGGGGCACGGCUCCGACAGCAGUCCUCUUCCUCCAAGGGCGACAGCCCAGAGAUGAAGCAGCGCACCAUGCACAAGCAGGCCCCUUCUCCUGUGAACCCCAAUGCCCUGGACCGCACGGCCGCUUGGCUGUUGAAUAUGAACGUGCAGCUCUUGGAAGACGAGAGCAGCGACCCCGAGCCCAAGCGCAGGGAUAAGGGCCGAACUAAAGACGAGCUCAGCCAAGGGGAAAAGUAUCAGCAGGACGUGGUGGUCUUGCAAGACAAGCUGCGCAUCUCCAGCAAGAAGCUGGAGGAAUACGAAGCCCGCUUCAAAUGCCAGGAGGAAACCACCCAGAAGCUGAUGCUGGAAUAUCAGGCGAGGCUGGAGGAGAGCGAGGAGAGGCUGCGCCGGCAGCAGGAAGACAAGGAGAUCCAGAUGAAGGGGAUCAUCAGCAGGCUGAUGUCAGUGGAGGAGGAGUUGAAGAAAGACCACGCGGAAAUGCAGGCAACCGUGGACUCCAAGCAGAAGAUCAUAGAUGCACAGGAGAAGCGCAUAGCCUCACUGGAUGCAGCCAAUGCCCGGCUAAUGAGUGCCCUCACGCAGCUGAAAGAGAGGUACAGCAUGCAGACACGUAACGGGAUCUCCCCCACAAACCCAACUAAAUUGCAGAUUACAGAGAACGGCGAAUUCCGAAACAGCAGCAAUUGCUAAGCGGCGGGAGUGGCUGCUGCAAGAGAAAAAGAGAGAGAGUCUGGCCCGAGAGAGCACGCAAGCAGCAGCAGCCGCCGCAGGCGGAGGGUAUGCAUUAGGAAAAAAAAUUACCCAAAACCAAAGCAGGCCACUUUCUGGAGUACUGUCCUCUUUUAAGUGGGAGUGGGUGCUGCGUGGGAAGUUAACCACCGCGAAGGCCCGAAAGGGAAUAACCGACAAGAACAGCAGCCUCCGAAAAGUGUCUCCCCUUAUCAGAGUCGCUGGGCGGCCGUAAGCCAGGAUUAGCCGCUCCUAACUGCUUGCUUGUGGCUUAGUGGAAAGGGGUCACCUUCACUCACGGCAGGGCCUUGCGCUACUAACCUCCAACCACCUCGUAGCUGGGGUUUUGCUUUCAGUCAGUCCUGAUGAGCCCCCUCCCCUCCUCAGUGUCUUGUUUGUUACAAGGCCAGGGAAAGACGAUGUGUAGGGGAGCUGCCCCUUCCACCCUGUAAGAGAACACAGUUGGCACUUUGGUGCGUAGAAUCUGAAAGAAACAGGACAUCUUUGAAUUCUGUGUGGCUCCAGAAAAAGUUUCUAAGUUGCCUGGUGUUAAGCAUGGGCCAGCACCAGCGUGCAGGCUAGUGCAAAUUCUGCACCCAGACCCACAAAUGUGGACUGUUACAAGAAAGGACAUUUUUCCAAGGAGCUGUGGUCUCAAUUAAAAAAAAACAAAAACCUGAAGCCCUCAAAUCCGCACUGCUCUCCCACCCGGGACCGAAUGUUCUCCUAUUCUCAGACAAUCAUGUUACUUUGCUGCACCCAAAUCUCUCCAAAAUACAA
RNA transcript from Euleptes europaea (tarantolino), 4375 nucleotides. It is a transcript of the gene named DAB2 interacting protein, with no coding region annotated. The record is from RefSeq and is a predicted model, not a curated record. NCBI's taxonomy places the organism in Eukaryota, Metazoa, Chordata, Lepidosauria, Squamata, Sphaerodactylidae. The transcript is spliced from 17 exons.